RNAcentral lists this unclassified non-coding RNA (432 nucleotides) under soil metagenome. Its description in RNAcentral is "partial contains 5.8S ribosomal RNA, internal transcribed spacer 2, and large subunit ribosomal RNA". The stretch from base 1 to 120 matches the Rfam family "5.8S ribosomal RNA", at positions 35 to 154 of the family's 154-position model. The record is from RNAcentral.
GAUGAAUAACGCAGCGAAAUGCGAUACGUAAUGUGAAUUGCAGAAUUCAGUGAAUCAUCGAAUCUUUGAACGCAUAUUGCGCUCUCUGGUAUUCCGGAGAGCAUGCUUGUUUGAGUAUCAGUAAACACCUCAACUUCCAUAUCUUUUUUGAAAUGGGAGUUGGACUUGAGUGAUCCCAACGCUUUUCCUCACCGAAAAGUGGCGGGUUACUUGAAAUGCAGGUGCAGCUGGACUUUUCUCUGAGCUAUAAGCAUAUCUAUUUAGUCUGCCUAAAAAACAGAUUAUUACCUUUGCUGCAGCUAACAUAAAGGAGAUUAGUUCUUGUGCUGACUGAUGCAGGAUUCACAAAGACAGCUUCGGCCGACUUUGUAAACUCGAUCUCAAAUCAAGUAAGACUACCCGCUGAACUUAAGCAUAUCAAUAAGCGGAGGA